AGUGAACGCUGGCGGUAGGCCUAACACAUGCAAGUCGAACGGCAGCACAGUAAGAGCUUGCUCUUACGGGUGGCGAGUGGCGGACGGGUGAGGAAUACAUCGGAAUCUACUUUUUCGUGGGGGAUAACGUAGGGAAACUUACGCUAAUACCGCAUACGACCUACGGGUGAAAGCAGGGGAUCUUCGGACCUUGCGCGAUUGAAUGAGCCGAUGUCGGAUUAGCUAGUUGGCGGGGUAAAGGCCCACCAAGGCGACGAUCCGUAGCUGGUCUGAGAGGAUGAUCAGCCAAACUGGAACUGAGACACGGGCCCGACUCCUACGGGAGGCAGCAGUGGGGAAUAUUGGACAAUGGGCGCAAGCCUGAUCCAGCCAUACCGCGUGGGUGAAGAAGGCCUUCGGGUUGUAAAGCCCUUUUGUUGGGAAAGAAAAGCAGCAGGUUAAUACCCCGCUGUUCUGACGGUACCCAAAGAAUAAGCACCGGCUAACUUCGUG
RNAcentral lists this ribosomal RNA (492 nucleotides) under uncultured bacterium. Its description in RNAcentral is "partial 16S ribosomal RNA". It matches the Rfam family "Bacterial small subunit ribosomal RNA", at positions 29 to 507 of the family's 1533-position model. The record is from RNAcentral.